GACGAACGCUGGCGGCGCGCUUAACACAUGCAAGUCGAACGGAAAGGCCUGCUUUCCCUUGUGGAUUGCGGGUACUCGAGUGGCGAACGGGUGAGUAACACGUGAGUGAUCUGCCCCCAACUUGGGUAUAAGCCUGGGAAACUGGGUCUAAUUCCCGAUAGGACUGCAGGGUGGUGCCUGUGGUGGAAAACGAUUUUCUAGUGGUUGGGGAUGAGCUCGCGGCCUAUCAGCUUGUUGGUGGGGUAAUGGCCUACCAAGGCGGCGACGGGUAGCCGGCCUGGGAGGGUGGACGGCCACAUUGGGACUGAUAUACGGCCCAGACUCCUACGGGAGGCAGCAGUGGGGAAUAUUGCACAAUGGGCGGAAGCCUGAUGCAGCGACGCCGCGUGGGGGAUGACGGCCUUCGGGUUGUAAACUCCUUUCGACCGCGAGGAAGCCACCUGGUUGGAAGGGUGGUGACGGUAGUGGUAGAAGAAGCACCGGCUAACUACGUG
This 494-nucleotide ribosomal RNA is filed under the name uncultured bacterium. RNAcentral describes it as "partial 16S ribosomal RNA". It matches the Rfam family "Bacterial small subunit ribosomal RNA", at positions 28 to 507 of the family's 1533-position model. The record is from RNAcentral.